Molecule: ribosomal RNA, 305 nt
Filed under: uncultured bacterium
Lineage: Bacteria
Description: bacterial SSU rRNA
Rfam family: Bacterial small subunit ribosomal RNA
Source: RNAcentral
GCCUACGGGGCGCAGCAGUGAGGAAUAUUGGUCAAUGGCCGGAAGGCUGAACCAGCCAAGCCGCGUGAAGGACGAAGGUGCCAAGCAUUGUAAACUUCUUUUGUCAAGGGACAAAAUCAGGCUCGAGAGCCUGACCGAGGGUACUUGAAGAAAAAGCAUCGGCUAACUCCGUGCCAGCAGCCGCGGUAAUACGUAGGGGGCAAGCGUUAUCCGGAUUUACUGGGUGUAAAGGGAGCGUAGACGGCAUGGCAAGUCUGAAGUGAAAGCCCGGGGCUCAACCGCGGGACUGCUUUGGAAACUGUUAA